UGGGGAAUUUUGGACAAUGGGGGCAACCCUGAUCCAGCAAUGCCGCGUGUGUGAAGAAGGCCUUCGGGUUGUAAAGCACUUUUGUCCGGAAAGAAAUCCUCUGGGUUAAUACCCCGGGGGGAUGACGGUACCGGAAGAAUAAGCACCGGCUAACUACGUGCCAGCAGCCGCGGUAAUACGUAGGGUGCGAGCGUUAAUCGGAAUUACUGGGCGUAAAGGGCGCGUAGGCGGCCUUCUAAGUCAGACGUGAAAUCCCCCGGCUUAACCUGGGAACUGCGUCUGAUACUGGGAGGCUUGAGUAUGGGAGAGGGAUGUAGAAUUCCAGGUGUAGCGGUGAAAUGCGUAGAUAUCUGGAGGAAUACCGGUGGCGAAGGCGGCAUCCUGGACCAUAACUGACGCUGAGGCGCGAAAGCUAGGGGAGCAAAC
This 426-nucleotide ribosomal RNA is filed under the name uncultured bacterium. RNAcentral describes it as "bacterial SSU rRNA". It matches the Rfam family "Bacterial small subunit ribosomal RNA", at positions 355 to 773 of the family's 1533-position model. The record is from RNAcentral.